GAUGAAGAACGUAGUGAAAUGCGAUAAGUAGUUUGAAUUGCAGAAUUCAGUGAAUCAUCGAAUCUUUGAACGCACAUUGCGCCCCUUGGUAUCCCGAGGGGCAUGCCUGUUCGAGCGUCAUUUCACCACUCAAGCCUGGCUUGGUGUUGGGCGACGUCCCCUUUGGGGACGCGCCUCGAAACGCUCGGCGGCGUGGCACCGGCUUUAAGCGUAGCAGAAUCUUUCGCUUUGGAAGUCGGGGCCCCGUCUGCCGGAAGACCUACUCGCAAGGUUGACCUCGGAUCAGGCAGGGAUACCCGCUGAACUUAAGCAUAUCAAUAAGCGGAGGA
This 329-nucleotide unclassified non-coding RNA is filed under the name soil metagenome. RNAcentral's name for it is "partial contains 5.8S ribosomal RNA, internal transcribed spacer 2, and large subunit ribosomal RNA". The stretch from base 1 to 120 matches the Rfam family "5.8S ribosomal RNA", at positions 35 to 154 of the family's 154-position model. The record is from RNAcentral.